UCCUACGGGAGGCAGCAGUGGGGAAUUUUCCGCAAUGGGCGAAAGCCUGACGGAGCAACGCCGCGUGGGGGAAGAAGGUUUUUGGAUUGUAAACCCCUUUUCUCAAGGAAGAACAAAAUGACGGUACUUGAGGAAUCAGCCUCGGCUAACUCCGUGCCAGCAGCCGCGGUAAUACGGAGGAGGCAAGCGUUAUCCGGAAUUAUUGGGCGUAAAGCGUUCGUAGGCGGCUGUUCAAGUCUGCUGUCAAAGACCGAGGCUCAACCUCGGGUAGGCAGUGGAAACUGGAUAGCUAGAGGUCGGUAGGGGCAGAGGGAAUUCCCGGUGUAGCGGUGAAAUGCGUAGAUAUCGGGAAGAACACCAGUGGCGAAGGCGCUCUACUGGGCCACAACUGACGCUGAGGGACGAAAGCUAGGGGAGCGAAAGGGAUUAGAUACCCCUGUAGUCCUAGCUGUAAACGAUGGAUACUAGGUGUUGGGCGUAUCGACCCGUUCAGUACCGUAGCUAACGCGUUAAGUAUCCCGCCUGGGGAGUACGCACGCAAGUGUGAAACUCAAAGGAAUUGACGG
RNAcentral lists this ribosomal RNA (566 nucleotides) under uncultured cyanobacterium. RNAcentral describes it as "bacterial SSU rRNA". It matches the Rfam family "Bacterial small subunit ribosomal RNA", at positions 337 to 916 of the family's 1533-position model. Lineage: Bacteria; Bacillati; Cyanobacteriota. The record is from RNAcentral.